GACGAACGCUGGCGGCGUGCUUAACACAUGCAAGUCGAGCGGUAAGGCCCUUUCGGGGGUACGACGAGCGGCGAACGGGUGAGUAACACGUGGGUGACCUGCCCUCCAGCUCUGGGAGUAAGCCUGGGAAACCGGGUCUAAUACUGGAUAUGACUCCAUGACGCAUGUUGUGGGGUGGAAAGCCUUGUGCGGCUGAGGAUGGGCCCGCGGCCUAUCAGCUUGUUGGUGGGGUGAGGCCUACCAAGGCGACGACGGGUAGCCGGCCUGAGAGGGCGACCGGCCACACUGGGAC
This 292-nucleotide ribosomal RNA is filed under the name uncultured bacterium. Its description in RNAcentral is "partial 16S ribosomal RNA". It matches the Rfam family "Bacterial small subunit ribosomal RNA", at positions 28 to 319 of the family's 1533-position model. The record is from RNAcentral.